UUGGGUUUAAAGGGAGCGUAGGCCCGUUUGGUAAGCGUGUUGUGAAAUGUAGUAGCUCAACUUUUAGAUUGCAGCGCGAACUGUCAGACUUGAGCGCGCACAACGUAGGCGGAAUUCAUGGUGUAGCGGUGAAAUGCUUAGAUAUCAUGAAGAACUCCGAUUGCGAAGGCAGCUUACGGGAGCGCAACUGACGCUGAAGCUCGAAGGUGCGGGUAUCGAACAGGAUUAGAUACCCUGGUAGUCCGCACAGUAAACGAUGGAUGCCCGCUGUUAGCACCUAGUGUUAGCGGCUAAGCGAAAGCAUUAAGCAUCCCACCUGGGGAGUACGCCGGCAACGGUGAAACUCAAAGGAAUUGACGGGGGCCCGCACAAGCGGAGGAACAUGUGGUUUAAUUCGAUGAUACGCGAGGAACCUUACCCGGGCUUGAAUUGCAGAUGAACGAUUUAGAGAUAAUGAGGUCCUUCGGGACAUCUGUGAAGGUGCUGCAUGGUUGUCGUCAGCUCGUGCCGUGAGGUGUCGGCUUAAGUGCCAUAACGAGCGCAACCCCUUUCUUUAGUUGCCAUCAGGUUCUGCUGGGCACUCUGGAGAUACUGCCACCGUAAGGUGUGAGGAAGGUGGGGAUGACGUCAAAUCAGCACGGCCCUUACGUCCGGGGCUACACACGUGUUACAAUGGGUGGUACAGAUAGUUGGUCGUAUGCAAAUACGAUCUAAUCCUUAAAACCAUUCUCAGUUCGGACUGGGGUCUGCAACCCGACCCCACGAAGCUGGAUUCGCUAGUAAUCGCGCAUCAGCCAUGGCGCGGUGAAUACGUUCCCGGGCCUUGUACACACCGCCCGUCAAGCCAUGAAAGCCGGGGGUGCCUGAAGUUCGUGACCGUAAGGAUCGACCUAGGGCAAAACUGGUAAUUGGGGCUAAGUCGUAACAAGGUAACCGUAAAGGGCG
Molecule: ribosomal RNA, 945 nt
Filed under: uncultured bacterium
Lineage: Bacteria
Description: bacterial SSU rRNA
Rfam family: Bacterial small subunit ribosomal RNA
Source: RNAcentral